RNAcentral lists this small nucleolar RNA (124 nucleotides) under Suricata suricatta (meerkat). RNAcentral's name for it is "Small nucleolar RNA SNORA17 (ENSSSUG00005007983.1)". It matches the Rfam family "Small nucleolar RNA SNORA17". Rfam says of the family: snoRNA ACA 17 belongs to the H/ACA family of snoRNAs and is predicted to guide pseudouridylation of the 28S rRNA at positions U4659 and U4598. It shares the same host gene together with ACA43. NB This family has a high threshold value to exclude a large number of closely related sequences that do not appear to have conserved H and ACA boxes, and may be pseudogenes. The record is from Rfam by way of RNAcentral. Lineage: Eukaryota; Metazoa; Chordata; Mammalia; Carnivora; Herpestidae.
GCUGCCUCGGAGCACUGAAGAUGCGGCUGCCGUGUCACACUUGGGUCAUUAGAUGGCAGAAAGAGAGGCUUGUCUCCCUCAGUGUUCUGGCCCAUGAAAGUCUGGAUAUUAAUAGUCUGACACU